AGUCACCUUUGUCAUAAUGUGUUUUUCAGGUUCCGGUCAAGAAAUCAUGGUAUGUCUCAUAAUGACCAUGAACAGAACUCUGCUCGCAGCCAGGUUCAGGUUAAGACAUCAUGGGGAGUAUAUCCAUCGUAGUAAAUGAGGCACAUAGCAUGUAUGGAGGUAAGUGAUGAUGUGGGCCUGAAUUACAGCACAGAUCAUCUGAUUCUAUAUGCAGGUAAGGUAUUAUGGUCCUAACACUUCUUGUUACUAUGAUUUUGUUACAGGUGUUCAGGUAAGAGAUAGUCCUUACCAAAUCUAGUGACCUUGACUUUAUACGUUUUACAUUUUAGAGAUAAACGUUUAACCCUGUGAGUUUUGAGAGCUGAUUGUAUCCAUAACUGUUAAUCUCCCACCCCACUAGUAACCACAAUGUAUUUGCAGGAAGUCUGCUUCAGACAUGAUGGCCUUCUUCUGAUGAAGGUGUUGACCUGAGUUGAUGCAAACGUCAAGGUGUCCGUUCAAGAGAAGUAGAUGUCUCUUCACAGGGUUUAUCCUUGGAGUUCUGCAAGUUAACGUCAAGACCUCACAGUGACUUUAUCAAUGAUAAUGGAUGUGGGACAUUGUUGGAAUGGAGGUAAGUGAUCCUGUGGGUCUAAACCACAGCACAUACCAUCCAGCUUUCAUACAUGGAGGUAAAUGGUGAGUAUCCUUACACUUCCUGUUACCAUGAAUUUUUUGAAGGUGUGCGGGUAAGAAAUGAUAGAGUCCUUACCAAUUCCAAAGACCCUGUUUCUCUGCUUUCUGUAUUUCAGGAAAUGUUCAUUUUUAACCCUCUGAGUGUUGAGGGACUGCACAUAUACAGGUAUUUAUCAUGAUAUUGCCCGUGAAAGUCCUACCCAUAGGCUAUUUGCAGGUGUCCAAUCAUAGAAUGAUGGUCUUAUCCGAUACUGGUAUUAACCUUGGACUACUGUAAGUAUCCAGUAGAGUUGAUGUGUCUCAUGAUGAUGAAGUGAACACUGUUAUUUGCAGGUUUCCUGGUAGGAAAAAGCUAUGUCCUUCAACACACGCUCGUAAUGUCUUUCCAGCUUCCAGUCACGAAUUGAUGAAUCUAACAUUGCUCAUCAGUGGGGAUGUUCUUAGUGUGCAGGUUAAGUGAUGACGUGGGCCUAGACCAGGCCAUCCGAUCUCCAUCUAGCUGGAUAAGUGAUGAAGGUUUCCCUAACAAUUGUUACCAUUUUUCUUUGCAAGUAUUCAGGUAGGAAAUAGUCCUUACCAAUUCUGGAAACCCUGAGUUUUUUCUUUUUAUAUUUUAGAGAAAAUUUUAUUUUAUUCUUGUGCGUGAUGAGGGGUUGCCAUAUUCAGGUAAUGAUCAUGAUGUUUCUAACCCUAGCCAUAACCAUGGAAAUUUUGCAUGUGUUUCAUAAUGAAAUGUUGUUAUAUCUGAUCAUGAUCUUGACCUUGGUUGGAAUACUGCAAAUAUUUAGGUGGAAUUGAUGUUCUACUAAUGAAGGAAGCGUCUAAGGUAAUUAAUUUGAGGUUUCUUGCUGCAAGCUCUGUCUUUUUACACAUCCGUAAUGUGUUUUUCAGAUUCCUGCCGAAAGAUCAAGAUGAAAUCAAUGGUUAAUGGGGGACAUUUCUGGUAUCCAGAUAGGUUAUGCCGUAUGCCUUCACCACAUCAGACCAUCUGAUAGUCACAUAUCCAGGUUCUGGCAGUCAUGAAAUAACAGUGAACCUAAAAAUCGUCAUUAACAGAACCUUACCAGUAACCAAGUAUCCCUUCAAGAGAGGAAGGUGUCUCUUACUAGGGUUUAACCUCAGAUUUCUGCCGUUAUCCAGGUUCACGUGAAGACCUCCCUAUGAGCCGGUUAGUGGUAGUUAAUGAUGUGUGCAUAGCAGGUAUUGAGGUACCCUGUUCAGGUCUUUGAUAGUACAAAGGUAUGAGAUGAUAUAAUAUUAACUCAUCGAUGUUCUUAUUUUCAACUAUCUAUGUAAUUGUUUUUAAGACUCCUCCUUCCCUUGUUUUUGGCAAGUAGAAGUUAAAUUAAUUUGACCCUGACGGUGGGGGACGGGAAGGGGGAAAACCUAGUUACACAGAGGGAGAGAGGCAAACUAUAAGAGACUCUUAAAUACAGAGAAUGAA
Molecule: long non-coding RNA, 2119 nt
Organism: Lynx canadensis (Canada lynx)
Lineage: Eukaryota; Metazoa; Chordata; Mammalia; Carnivora; Felidae
Exons: 8
Source: RefSeq, a predicted model, not a curated record